RNAcentral lists this ribosomal RNA (253 nucleotides) under uncultured bacterium. RNAcentral describes it as "partial 16S ribosomal RNA". It matches the Rfam family "Bacterial small subunit ribosomal RNA", at positions 524 to 776 of the family's 1533-position model. The record is from RNAcentral.
UACGUAGGGUGCGAGCGUUAAUCGGAAUUACUGGGCGUAAAGUGUGCGCAGGCGGCCGCGCAAGUCGAGUGUGAAAGCCCCGAGCUUAACUUGGGAAUUGCGCUCGAAACUACGUGGCUGGAGUGUGGCAGAGGAAGGUGGAAUUCCACGUGUAGCGGUGAAAUGCGUAGAGAUGUGGAGGAACACCGAUGGCGAAGGCAGCCUUCUGGGCCAAUACUGACGCUCAUGCACGAAAGCGUGGGGAGCAAACAGG